Molecule: long non-coding RNA, 4045 nt
Organism: Prunus avium (sweet cherry)
Lineage: Eukaryota; Viridiplantae; Streptophyta; Magnoliopsida; Rosales; Rosaceae
Source: RefSeq, a predicted model, not a curated record
GUAAGCUCUAAAGUCAAAUUAAUAAGAAAAUCAGCUUUACCAUAUCCCUCUCUCUCGUUCUGUUUCUAUUGAUCUCUCUCGAUUCUUCUAAGAUCUCAAAGCUUGGUUAAGGUCAUCAAUGGCUUCCAUGAAGAAAGCUUUCAUGGCAUGAGAGCUUUAACUCUGCAUAUCGUGAUCGAUCUCUCUCCGCUGCUCAUUUCUUUGCUUCGUUUCUCUCUGAGAAAUCAUAUGAGUUAAGGUGCCUAUUGAUCCUGAUGGAGACGAUUAUCUCGAAUGGGAAGCAAUGGAUACUGCAAUUUUAAACAUAAUUGAUGCAAGUCUCUCAGAUGAUGCUUUUUCUAAGAUGAUGAAUUGUAAGUCUGCUACAUAGGCCUGGACUACACUGCGAGAUCGUUAUUCUUCGAUUUUUGAGCUUAAGAUCAUGCAUCUUAAGAAUAAUUUGGAUGGAUUGCAAAAAGGCACUGACUCUGUGGAAGUGUAUUGGAAGAAGGUUCGUGCCGCUUGACAACAACUAUCAACUGCUGGUCAUCCUAUUUCAGAUCAGGAUAUGAUUUUGCUUCUUCUCAAAGGCUUACCUAUGGAAUACAAUCACUUCAAGUCUCAUAUCCGUGCUAGACCAGUUCGUAUUACUCUUCCAGAGCUGCGUGAUCUACUCCUAGAGGAAGAGAUUGAUUUGGAUGCUGCUACUAAGUCCUUUACUCCCCCAAUUAUGACUGCUAUGGUUGCUCAAAAAGGCACAGUUAACUCCUCCUCACCACCUGUUGCUCAUGGUGAUAAUUUUCAUUCUGGUUCUGUUGAUCGGGGAGGUGGUAAUCCAAACUGGCAAUCUCACUGGAAUAGACGUCCAAACUAUCGUGGUCAUGGGUCUUGGUCUCCAGGCCGAUCAUGGAAUAAUGGAGGGCGAGGAAAUUCUUGGCAUAAUGGUGGGUCAUGGCAUAAUGGCAACAACCCUGAUACUAUCUGGAAUGGUUCAACCAAUCAAUGGAAUCAUGGUGGUCAGUCUGGAAAUUCUCAUGGUCAAUGGAAUCAAGGUUCUGGUCCAUGGCAUAACAAUGCUGGUUCAUGGCAUCAUAAUAGUGGACCAUGGCAUUAAGGGAGUAACUCAGGGUCAGCACCUCAAUAUUUUGUUUCUCCAAACUCCAGCCCUGGUGUUUUGUCACCUUCUCCUACAGCUCCACCAGUUCCAUCAGCUCAAUCUACUCUAACUACUGACACAUGCCAAAUCUGCCUUCACUUUGGUCAUACAGCUCCAAAUUGCCCACAUCGAGCUAAUUUCUCCUAUCAAGGCAUGCCUCCCUCUCCAACCCUCACAACUCUUACUACAACUAUUAGUGGUUCAUUCUCGGAUCCAAACAUCUGGUUAAUAGACAGUGGUGCUACAAAUCACAUGACUUCAUAUCUUCGACUUCUCUCCAACAUCACUCCUUCAACCUCCACUGAUAAUGUUACUAUGGGUAAUGGUACUGGACUCAGUAUUGUUAAUGUUGGAAGCUCUUCUCUUGUCUCAUGUCAUCAAGUCUUUAAUCUCCCUGAGGUUUUACAUGUUCCUAAUCUGGCCACUAAUCUACUAUAUGUUCAUCAAUUUUGUCUUGAUAAUCACUGCCAGAUUUUAUAUAAUGCCUUGUGGUUCUAAAUUCAGGAUCUGAAGGGGCAAAUUCUGUAUCAAGGCAAGUGCAGUAAUGGUCUUUAUCCACUACCAACAAGAAUCCCUCCCAUUUUACCUCACUUGGCUGCUUUUCAUGGACGAAAAGUUUGUCAUACUUUGGGGCACUAUAGAUUAGGCCAUCCAUCUCAUGAUAUUACCAAUUCUAUGUUAGCUAAAGCUCAAAUUCCUCUUUCUCCUAGUUCACCACAUGUAUGCAGUUUUUGUUUGCAAGGGAAGAUGUGCAAACAACCAUUUCCAUCUUCACAUGUUGUGUCUCAAAUUCCUUUUGAAGUGAUACACUCGGAUGUAUGGGGUCCUACUCCUUAUUCCUCUUUGCAAGGUCACAAGUACUAUGUACUUUUUCUUGAUGAGUGCUGUUUCCUUUAAUAAAGAAAUCAGAUUGUUUCUCUACUUUUGUUCAUUUUCUUGCCUAUGUUCAAAAUCAGUUUGCCACUUCCAUUAAAACUUUCCAAACUGAUGGUGGGGGUGAAUAUGUCAGCACAGAAUUUCAGACCUUUAUUAGUUCCAAAGGCAUCUUACAUCAUAAGUCUUGUCCUUAUACCCCUGAGCAAAAUGGAAGGGCUGAAAGGAAACAUCGACAUUUAGUUGAAACAACUGUUACACUUCUCACUACAACUGCUCUUCCAUCCAAAUAUCUCUUCCAUGCUUUAUCCACAGCCAAUUAUCUUAUUAAUAGAAUGCCCUGCAAGAAUUUACGUAUGCAAUCUCCUUUCUCUAAACUGUUUCAUAAAGAACCAGAUAUUACUCUGUUGAAGGUAUUUGGCUGUGCAUGUUAUCCUCUAUUACGACCCUAUACUCAAUCUAAGGUGCAACCUAGGUAUGAACAAUGUAUCUUUUUGGGAUAUACUUUGGAUUAUAAAGGCUAUCUCUGUCUAGCUCCCAAAACUAAUCGCAUUUACAUCUCUCGACAUGUUAUCUUUGAUGAGGUCUGCUUUCCUUUUAAGAGUGCUUCUUGUUCCUCAGUUCCUACUAAACCACCAGAUUUAACAUCCUCUAUACCUUAUCUACUCUCUUCACCUUUAUGUGUUACUCAUAGACUUGAUGGUUUUCCAGCGGCUACUUCUUCUACUAACACAUUAGCAAGUCCAGUACCUACUGCAAGGGAAAUUGCUUCUUCUGUUGAUGUUACUAAUCCUUCUACUGAGUUUGUACAGGCUUAGCCACCAGACUUUCAUCAGGUACAAGAAGCAUCUUUCACUCCACCAGUUAAUUCUCAUCCUAUGCAGACUCGUUCUAAGUCUGGGAUUCUCAAGUAUCGACAUGGUUUCUUGGUUGCCAAACCACCAGUUGCUCCAUCUCCUCUCUAUGAACCACACACUUAUUCCCAGGCUGCCAAGGUUCCAGAAUGGAAGGCUGUUAUGGAAGAUGAGUUUCAGGCUCUUCAAAAACAACAUACUUUAACUCUUGUUCCUUAUCACCAUUCCAUGAAUAUUGUUGGUUGUAAAUGGCUGUUCAAACUCAAGAAAAAUGCUGAUGGUUCCAUCUCUCGACACAAAGCUCGGUUGGUUGCCAAAGGGUUUCAUCAAGAGGCUGGCCUUGAUUAUGAUGAGACAUUCAGUCCUGUUGUCAAGCACUCUACAGUUUGAUUGAUCCUUGCUUUAGCUGCUCAGUAUCAUUGGUCUGUUAAACAACUUGACGUGAAGAAUGCUUUUCUUCAUGGUGUUCUUCAUGAGGAAGUUUUUAUGCAACAACCUUCAGGUUUUGAAGAUUCUGCUCAACCUCAUCAUGUAUGCCGGUUAUUAAAGUCUCUUUAUGGGUUAAAACAAGCUCCUCGAGCUUGGAAUGAACGGUUCACUACUCAUUUGCUCACUCUUGGUUUUGUUCAAUCCUUGGCUGAUACAUCUCUCUUUGUUCGUGCCUCUGGGAGUGAUAUGCUUGUUCUUCUCUUGUAUGUCAAUGAUAUUCUCUUGACUGGGAAUAAUAGUGUCUUGAUUCAGUAGACCAUUACAGCUCUAAGCCAUGAGUUUGAUAUGAAGGAUCUCGGCCGAUUAACCUAUUUUUUGGGUCUUCAAGUUCAGUAUACCUCUAAAGGUAUUCAUGUUAACCAAUCUAAAUAUGCUACUAAUCUUCUCCUUAAGGCUGGUAUGACUCAAUGCAAGCCUUGUUUUACACCCUGCUUACCUACUACCAAGUUACUAAAGUUUGAUGAACACCUUUAUCUGAUCCUACCCUUUAUCGAAGUUUAGUAGGAGGACUUCAGUAUCUUACCUUCAGCAGGCUUGACAUUGCAUUUGCCGUGAACACUCUUCGCCAGUUUAUGCAUGUACCCACCGAUACACAUUUUGCUGCAGUCAAACGUGUGCUACGAUACUUGGCUGGUACUCUGACCAUGGCAUUCAUUUUACCUCUGGUGAUGUUCAUUUGCAAGCCUACUCCGAU